Molecule: ribosomal RNA, 868 nt
Filed under: uncultured archaeon
Lineage: Archaea
Description: bacterial SSU rRNA
Rfam family: Archaeal small subunit ribosomal RNA
Source: RNAcentral
UUCCGGUUGAUCCUGCCGGACCCGACUGCUAUCAGAGUGGGACUAAGCCAUGCGUGUCAACAUAGCAAUAUGUGGCAUACGGCUCAGUAACACGUAGUCAACAUGCCCAGGGGACGUGGAUAACCUCGGGAAACUGAGGAUAAACCGCGAUAAGUCACUACUUCUGGAAUGGGUAAUGACUCAAAUCUACAUGGCCCCUGGAUUGGACUGCGGCCGAUCAGGCUGUUGGUGAGGUAAUGGCCCACCAAACCUGUAACCGGUACGGGCUCUGAGAGGAGGAGCCCGGAGAUGGGCACUGAGACAAGGGCCCAGGCCCUAUGGGGCGCAGCAGGCGCGAAACCUCUGCAAUAGGCGAAAGCCUGACAGGGUUACUCUGAGUGAUUUCCGUUAAGGAGAUCUUUUGGCACCUCUAAAAAUGGUGCAGAAUAAGGGGUGGGCAAGUCUGGUGUCAGCCGCCGCGGUAAUACCAGCACCCCGAGUGGUCGGGACGUUUAUUGGGCCUAAAGCAUCCGUAGCCGGUUCUACAAGUCUUCCGUUAAAUCCACCUGCUUAACAGAUGGGCUGCGGAAGAUACUAUAGAGCUAGGAGGCGGGAGAGGCAAGCGGUACUCGAUGGGUAGGGGUAAAAUCCGUUGAUCCAUUGAAGACCACCAGUGGCGAAGGCGGCUUGCCAGAACGCGCUCGACGGUGAGGGAUGAAAGCUGGGGGAGCAAACCGGAUUAGAUACCCGGGUAGUCCCAGCUGUAAACGAUGCAGACUCGGUGAUGAGUUGGCUUAUUGCUAACUCAGUGCCGCAGGGAAGCCGUUAAGUUUGCCGCCUGGGGAGUACGGUCGCAAGACUGAAACUUAAAGGAAUUGGCGGGGGAGCA